Molecule: ribosomal RNA, 460 nt
Filed under: uncultured bacterium
Lineage: Bacteria
Description: partial 16S ribosomal RNA
Rfam family: Bacterial small subunit ribosomal RNA
Source: RNAcentral
CCUACGGGAGGCAGUAGUGAGGAAUAUUGGUCAAUGGACGCAAGUCUGAACCAGCCAUGCCGCGUGAAGGAAGACUGCUCUAUGAGUUGUAAACUGCUUUUGUACGAGGGUAAAGCCCGACACGUGUACCGGGUUGAAAGUAUCGUACGAAUAAGGAUCGGCUAACUCCGUGCCAGCAGCCGCGGUAAUACGGAGGAUUCAAGCGUUAUCCGGAUUUAUUGGGUUUAAAAGGAGCGUAGGCGGUUCGAUAAGUUAGUGGUGAAAUUCCGGGGCUCAACUGUAGCAUUGCCACUGAUACUGUCGGUCUAGAGUAUAGUUGCGGUAGGCGGAAUGUAUGGUGUAGCGGUGAAAUGCAUAGAGAUCACACAGAACACCGAUUGCGAAGGCAGCUUACCAAACUGCGACUGACGUUGAUGCACGAAAGCGUGGGGAGCAAACAGGAUUAGAUACCCGGGUAGUC